GGUCAGUUAGCUCAGCGGUAGAGCACUACCUUGACAUGGUAGGGGUCACAAGUUCGAUCCUUGUACUGACCACCA
RNAcentral lists this transfer RNA (75 nucleotides) under Pseudomonadota bacterium. RNAcentral's name for it is "Proteobacteria bacterium (hot springs metagenome) tRNA-Val". It matches the Rfam family "tRNA". From Rfam's summary of the family: Transfer RNA (tRNA) molecules are approximately 80 nucleotides in length. Lineage: Bacteria; Pseudomonadati; Pseudomonadota. The record is from RNAcentral.